AGAGUUUGAUCAUGGCUCAGAACGAACGCUGGCGGCAUGCCUAACACAUGCAAGUCGAACGCUCUUGGGACUUCGGUUUCAAGGGAGUGGCGCACGGGUGAGUAGCGCGUGGGAACCUGCCCUGUUGUGGGGGAUAACCGAGGGAAACUUCGGCUAAUACCGCAUGCGCCCCGGAGUGAUCCGGGGGAAAGAUUUAUCGCAGCAGGAGGGGCCCGCGUCGGAUUAGCUAGUUGGUGGGGUAACGGCCCACCAAGGCGAUGAUCCGUAGCUGGUCUGAGAGGAUGAUCAGCCACACUGGGACUGAGACACGGCCCAGACUCCUACGGGAGGCAGCAGUGGGGAAUAUUGGACAAUGGGCGCAAGCCUGAUCCAGCAAUGCCGCGUGAGUGAUGAAGGCCUUAGGGUUGUAAAGCUCUUUCGCCCGCGACGAUGAUGACGGUAGCGGGAGAAGAAGCCCCGGCUAACUUCGUGCCAGCAGCCGCGGUAAUACGAAGGGGGCGAGCGUUGUUCGGAUUUACUGGGCGUAAAGGGGCGCGUAGGCGGCGUAUCAAGUCAGGCGUGAAAGCCCCGGGCUCAACCUGGGAAUGGCGCUUGGGACUGGUAUGCUUGAGUUCGGGAGAGGAGAGUGGGAUUCCCAGUGUAGAGGUGAAAUUCGUAGAUAUUGGGAAAGAAACACCGGUGGCGAAGGCGGCUCUCUGGACCGAGACUGACGCUGAGGCGCGAAAAGCGUGGGGAGCAAACAGAUUAGAUACCCCCGUAGUCC
Molecule: ribosomal RNA, 763 nt
Filed under: uncultured bacterium
Lineage: Bacteria
Description: bacterial SSU rRNA
Rfam family: Bacterial small subunit ribosomal RNA
Source: RNAcentral